GAUGAAGAACGCAGCGAAAUGAGAUAAGUAAUGUGAAUUGCAGAAUUCAGUGAAUCAUCGAAUCUUUGAACGCACAUUGCGCCCGUCAGUAUUCUGGCGGGCAUGCCUGUUCGAGCGUCAUUACGCCCCUCAAGUCCCCUGUGGACUUGGUGUUGGGGAUCGGCGAGGCUGGUUUUCCAGCACAGCCGUCCCUUAAAUUAAUUGGCGGUCUCGCCGUGGCCCUCCUCUGCGCAGUAGUAAAACACUCGCAACAGGAGCCCGGCGCGGUCCACUGCCGUAAAACCCCCCAACUUUUUAUAGUUGACCUCGAAUCAGGUAGGACUACCCGCUGAACUUAAGCAUAUCAAUAAGCGGAGGA
This 358-nucleotide unclassified non-coding RNA is filed under the name soil metagenome. Its description in RNAcentral is "partial contains 5.8S ribosomal RNA, internal transcribed spacer 2, and large subunit ribosomal RNA". The stretch from base 1 to 120 matches the Rfam family "5.8S ribosomal RNA", at positions 35 to 154 of the family's 154-position model. The record is from RNAcentral.